AGCUUUGCACAGUGGCAGUAUCGUAGCCAAUGAGGUUUAUCCAAGGCACGAUUGUUGCUAAUUGAAACCUUUCCCAAUACCCUACCAUGAUGACUUGCAAUAUAAUUGGCAUUGGCAAUUUUUGGCGGUUCCUACGGGGA
Molecule: small nuclear RNA, 140 nt
Organism: Lemur catta (Ring-tailed lemur)
Lineage: Eukaryota; Metazoa; Chordata; Mammalia; Primates; Lemuridae
Product: U4 spliceosomal RNA
Exons: 1
Source: RefSeq, a predicted model, not a curated record